GUGGGGAAUUUUGGACAAUGGGCGCAAGCCUGAUCCAGCAAUGCCGCGUGCAGGAAGAAGGCCUUCGGGUUGUAAACUGCUUUUGUACGGAACAAAACGGUCCUGGUUAAUACCUGGGGCUAAUGACGGUACCGUAAGAAUAAGCACCGGCUAACUACGUGCCAGCAGCCGCGGUAAUACGUAGGGUGCAAGCGUUAAUCGGAAUUACUGGGCGUAAAGCGGGCGCAGGCGGUUUUGUAAGACAGGCGUGAAAUCCCCGGGCUCAACCUGGGAAUUGCGCUUGUGACUGCAAGGCUGGAGUGCGGCAGAGGGGGAUGUAAUUCCGCGUGUAGCAGUGAAAUGCGUAGAUAUGCGGAGGAACACCGAUGGCGAAGGCAAUCCCCUGGGCCUGCACUGACGCUCAUGCACGAAAGCGUGGGGAGCAAACAGGAUUAGAAACCCGGGUAGUCC
This 450-nucleotide ribosomal RNA is filed under the name uncultured bacterium. RNAcentral's name for it is "partial 16S ribosomal RNA". It matches the Rfam family "Bacterial small subunit ribosomal RNA", at positions 354 to 796 of the family's 1533-position model. The record is from RNAcentral.